Molecule: long non-coding RNA, 7281 nt
Organism: Gallus gallus (chicken)
Lineage: Eukaryota; Metazoa; Chordata; Aves; Galliformes; Phasianidae
Exons: 3
Source: RefSeq, a predicted model, not a curated record
AGCAGAAAACAUAGAGAUACCUGCAAAUGAAAAAUAGAGCGAGGACUUCUGCAACAGGGAAAUUCUGAAAGAGUCUCUUUGUACAUCAGUAAAUUCCAAUACCUGCACUUAGCCAGGAUAUUUCAGGGGUUGGUGUAUUUCUUCCUCCUAGACCACCACAAUCCCUGGAGGAUAGCUAGCUGCUCUCCUGCCACUCUUGAUGGACAAGCCCUGGUUUUCACCCACUGUGACAUUCUGUGACAAACGCCAUGCACUCCAUUUUUUUCCUUGCUGUUUGUAAAACUUCCCAGCAUAAAAAUGUAGAGAUGGAGUUUGGAUCUCUUUCACUGGCAGUGACACACAGUGGGCAGUGCAUUGCUCAAGAGACUCGGUUGUAUUUCCAGCACUGACAAAGGCAGAAGGUACAUGACCAGGAGAAAUUCAUUUCACCAGCAAGAACCUCAUCUUUCCUGCUGUUAAAUGAGAAAUCUGUCCAGAAGAUUCCCCAUUAAUCAACAGCAACAAGGAAUCUCUCACCUCUGAGGGAAUAUUUAACUUGAACUUGCAUGUGUACACUGAAAUCUGAGUGUAGAUCCCAUCAUGUGGGCACAUCCCAGCACUGACUUGCCUGAGCUCAUUAUCUGCUCUCUCUGGAGCAAUGAAGCACAGCUUUAAAAUUGGUUUCCUGCAGUUUUGCCCCCCCUCUCUCCCCUCACCCCCUCGCCCCCCCUUUUUUUUUCCCAUUUCAGUCUCACCCAAGUGCAUAAUGAAAAAAUGUUGUGGCUUCGCAUGCAAAUAAAAUUUAACAUAACGACUUUCUGAGCUAAUGCUUAGCUCAGGUAAUGCACCAGGGGGCUUUCUGUUGCCAGGCCAUUUCCCCACUCCAUUGUAAAACAUUAAGCUGUUGAAAAGCAAAUCAUGAUUGCUAAGUUGGGUGGCUGAUGGAAGGAACAAAGAGUUUUGGAUACACGUCAAGGAAGGAACAAAGAGUUUUGGAUACAUGUCAAAUGUUCUGGAAGACUGGCUGACCAAAACCACUUCAGGGGUGAUCAUUAUCAGUAUAUCUGAGCAAUUAGUCUCAUUUUCCAGCAGAUAGCAGCUACUAACCACAGCUCAGUGCUCUGCGGAACAUAGCCACUUUUCUAGCUCUUUGAUACAACCUGUCACUGACCUUUCAGGGGUCUGCUCAGGGCUGUUCUGCAGCCCAGGCAAUUGGAUCAGAUCUAACUGCUAUAAACCAAGACCAAGAAAUUCCUCUGUAAAGUGAUACAUUUCUAGUGUGAAUGCCAUAUCUUGUGCUGCUCGUAUCAGCUGCUCCAUGAUAUUGAAUGUACAAACUGUUUAAAAUAGCAAAGUGAACUUCUGAAGUGUUAUUUUGCUGUCACAAAAGCAUUUGCAGGUUGGAUAUUCAGAAAAAUUUAUUCUCUGAAAGAGUAGUCAGGCAUAGAUCAGGCUGCCCAGGGAGGUGGGGAAGUUACCGCCCCUGGAGGUGUUCAAGGAGCAUGAAGAUCACACAAUGACUUGAGUUGGGUUGGGUUGGAAGGGAUCUCAGAGAUAAUCAGAACGUAGAGAAGCUUUUCUCCCCUGACUUGGCCUGGGACCAAUUUCACCAUAAUUCAGCUUUGUGUUGUCAGACACCCCAAGGAGAUGGUUGAUCUCAGUGGUUCGUAGACUGGCAGUUUAUCUCUGCCUCUGCUAGGCCAAGAUGGGUUUUACAUAUGUUCCUGAAGUGCUGAGGAAUUGCAAAGCAUGUAGGAAGUCUCAGAUUCCACGUUGCUUCCAAUAAAAGAUACCUGCAUGCAGAUAUUUAGGAAGAUGAUACUCUUUGUAUGAGUCACCAUGAUCUGUAAGUUUAUUCCAUAAUGAAACAUGGGCUUUUAGGGUCAAAAAGUUAUGUAAUUGCAGAGAUGUGGAUAUUCACAAGUUGAAACAAGAUUAGUAAAUCCAUCUUUUGACUAAUACAUCCAUCUACCCAACAAAUUUCUUACCGGAACACCGUCAGGUUCCAGUCCAUUGACUCUAAGAAUUUGAACUCUAAAAGUUCAAAGUCUUAGAAAAAAAAAAAACUUACUAUUAUAAUGCUAUUACUAUUAUAUUGGCUCGCAGCUUGUUGCAGCUCUGUGUUGCUUAUGUGCCCUUAUUCUUAAAGCCUUCCUAUCUCAAACUAAUUAAUACAUGAUGCUGUUUUAAAGGUACUUUACCUUUGACAAUGACCCUUGUAAGUGGUCCUAUCAUUUGUUUUAACUAUUGUCAGCUUCUCCUUCUUUGUGCUGAGACUGUCAUUAUUUCAUAUCAGGUGGUUUCUUCUGAAAACUGCUCUCAUAUAUACGGGCAUUUAAUAGUUACUGGUUGUACACUGAAGUGCUCUUGUAAGUUCUCUGUUGUUAUCCACUGGACUGUGACAAUCUCCACGCUCCAGCUCAUCAGCCACUGUGAAAUGUCACUAUUUCAUGUUAUGUUAAUUGCCAUAAAAGCAUGAUUUGAUAUGAAAAGCACUCCAAAUUUCAAAGUGCUGGGCUCAAUCUAUCGGAUUAUUACUAAAAGGUAAAGACAGCUUUGCAGUGGAUUAGGCAAAGUGCACUCCUUCGAGAGCAGAGUCGUGAGGGUUAUCUCACAUCUGUUCAGAAGUGGAUGCUCAGAGAAGAAACACCAUUAUCCCAUUGGACAGCACUAAAUAUGCUGCCACAAGAUUCCUAAGAUACUUGAGAUUAUACUCUUAUCUUAUUUUUCCUUGGGAGGACUUCAGAUAUCUCAAACUCAGCAAAUAUGCCAUUUACUUAGCUUAAUUACUCAUUGACAUGACAUCUCUGUUUUCGGUAUCACCAGAGCCAUGUGCUCGUUGUCCUCAUGAAUUAUGAGAAGGACUGCAAUUUCAGACAAGUUGAACACAAUUGAAAAACAUUGCAUGGCUGUGGUUCACCACUACUUUGCAUAAAUAAACUGCUCCAAGUAGACAUUGGGUAACAUUUCAUUCCCUCCCUCCCCAGUAUCCUCGGUUACUCUGUCACCUUUUGUUAAAUGGAUAUAAAUGAUAAACGUUAACAAACUCAUGUGCCAGUCACACGUCAAGAAAAGAAGCAAACAUGAAAUUAACACAAGUUAAUGUCAUGCUGUUUACAGAACAUUUAAAGUCUUGAAAUGUAACUUCUUGUGGUUUAAAGCAAUGACCAUUUGUAAGUCACGUUAUUUUCUGCAUUACGAGUUUCAGCCCUAAUUUUGAUGAGGAGUGCCUUUCUAAUCUAACAGUGUCCUUUGGAUUUAAACUUAGUAGAUUAAUAUGCACACAAAAAAAAAAUAGAUAAAGCACCUCUAAUAUUUUCCUGGUGGUUGGGUUUUACUUUGCAUGACUGACUCAUUAUGUGCAAUUAAUAUUGGCAUGAUUGCAGUUUGGUAAAUUAAACUACAUGCCCACGGAUGAAAAGCAGAGCCACAGAAUAACUUCCUUGCAGGUGAGCCAGCCAUGUAAAGUCACAACAAUUUGCAACAAGCUGCUAAAAAAGAAGGAGCCAAAUAAAUCUAAUGCUUAAUUUGCUGUUGGCUGUGGUAACAAAGUUCACUGGCCGUAAGAAAUUGGCAGAGAUCUGAAUCUGAGCAAGAACCUUUGCAAUAACCUCAGCUUGGACCGUGAUGUUGCUGACCUCAAUUUAUGAACAGAAAGGAAUUAGCAAACAUAAUCUCAUGCAUUGCUCAAAUGAAAUUCUGCUCUGUGCAGCGCUGCAGUUCUGGUGGUCAUGUCCAUCAAACACAGCUCCAGUGCUGCAGACCAGCUACGUGCUGACCAUCACAGACCCCAUUCCAGCAAGGUGUAAGGGAUGAAUCAAAUGAUAUGUUCUCCUCAUCUUCUGUCUAGGCUUUCUAUUUGAUGUCUACAAAAGCAAUGAUUUCAGUUACUAUAGGACCAGCAACAGAAGGCAGAUUAUACUGAAGGAUGAUGCAUACUUUCACUUUUUAUUCUCCAUCCUUUCACUUGAUGUAGAAUAAAAUAUCAUUUUCGAACUUUCCAGACUAUGAACAAUUUGCUAAAGUUCAUCUAGUAAUUUGCUCAUUAAAAAAAAACCACAACACGCUACAACUGUUUUUACAUGUAUGAGGACAUUUUUUUCUCACAGAACACAUUCUAAAUUGUGUAAAUAUGGGAAGUCAUGUACAGGAGAUGACUGCCCUCCCUUUUGCUCCAUGAGCAAAGCAGCUGGCCUCAUCUCCUCCCUCUUCCCAUCUCCUUGGCUAUUGCACUGCAACCACAAAAUUAAGCACUCUUGCUUUUUUAAUUGAAUCCCUAUGCCUUCCCUGCCAUUUUCUACCCAAACUUUGGUUAAGAGGUUCCAUUUUUUGACACUUCCAGGGUGCUUUUUAAAUUCCUCAUACUACCAGCAUAGAAAAUUUUUACUUAUCUUUGGCUGCAGCCUUCCCAUGACCACGCCAUAUUCGGUUUUCAGAAGGCUGCUCAGUUUAUCUACGUUUUCUGCAACCAGCACUAAACAUGGCCAGCUAUGGGGUAAAACAUAAACCUCAAGGGAAGCUGUGCUUCACUUUCUUGUUUGCUCUGGCUUUAAUGUUGCAAAGUGAUUCUGUGUGACCUCUGUCUGGAAGGCAUUUCACCAAAUAGAAGUGUCUUGCUGCAGUAACUCAACUGGUUGUUCCUGGAGCCAUUGGCAGUUCUGUUGUUGUCAGAGCUGCGUGGCUUGCGAUGGGUGAUCAUGCAAAUAAAAUCCAGCAUUACAAACCUGCAGUCACAGUGUGAACAGUAUUAGCAGCUGAUUCAUUGAUCACUGCCUUAUUAUCACCUGUCAUUAGUAUGAGCUGUGAGGAAUAACUUGAUAUCAAUAUCAAUUGAUAACAAUCUACAUGUGAAUGGUCAUUAUUUUUGGCAAUGCAAUUUGAAACUACCCAGUUCAAACAAUUGCUUCAUUAAUAAAUGCUGACAGCAGGAUGUCACCUGUAGCAUUAUCCACGUUAGAGAUAGAGUGCAUAACAAAUGGCCUGAGAUAUCUGAUUUUAUCACUGUAAUUGGUAGUUUUUCUAUGUUUUUCUAGACAUAUCUCCUGCAACUUUCCCUCCACAUACCCCAGAAAUGAGCUGCUUUGGGAAUCUUCAGUGUUUCCAAAAAGCCAUAUGGAUGCCAGUGCUCUUGACCUCAAUGAGCUUCAGUUGCUCUUCUGGCCACUUUUUCCCCAGUUUUCACAAGAAAUUUGAAAUCAUUUUACUGUGGAAAGGCAUUUCACCAAGCAGAAUUGUUUUCCUGAAGUAACUGAAUCUGAUGGAUAUUAGUCUAGGUACACACAUAAAUCUUCCAUAUAUGUUUUCCUGAGAUUUUGAAGGUACUUUUGGGGAGAUAGAAUGGUUCUUAAUGAAUUCAGGCUCUACCAUGUUACUGUGGUAUUGUCUGGACUCCUGGAUUAGAAGUGGGUGUAUGGACACCAUUCUUGACAGUCUCACCCUGGACAGCUCUCAUACAGUCCAGACACAAAGUCUUAGAUAACUAUGGAAAAACACGCACAAAAACAAGGACAAAAAAUGCAGCUCAAGCAUUUUUAGAUUGUUUGUGGGUCAAAUAAUUCCAGGCAACUCAGGAUAUUAACUUUGAAAUUAUGACUUUUCACUCAUUUACACUUAAAAUUCCAUUUUUUUUCCUUCUAGAUAGCUGAUGUAUGUAAUUUGUGUAUCUGGGGUAGGUUGGAUUAUCUGAGAAUGUCAAAGGGAAUCAAAGGGGAAAAUGUAUUCUGACGCCUAAUUUUACAAGUACAUUUGUUCUGCCAAAUAAUUAAUUCUUUACAUUCUUCCAAAUGGGAAAUUAUGCCUUCUGGCAUGUAGGAAGACUUGUUAUUCCUAACUGUCUGAAAAAUAACAACCUUUUUUGCAGAUAUCAGUCCAUGUGGCACUUAUAAUUUAUGGUAUUUGUAAAUACAAAUGAAGUUAAUGCCAGGUAAGGUUUCCAAAGGGCCUCAGAAUCGAAUGUGCUUUCAAAAGACUGUUGACCGAAGACUUCAGACCAGUCUGUUUAAGGGACAUGACUGGCACACGGUCUUGAAAAUGUUUCCCCACUGAAGUAGCGGUGUUGAACUCAGCGGUUUAACAUGUCUGAGAAAGUGCUGGCAGGAUUCACCACUCCUUAAAUUUCUAGAUUUUUACAGCGCUGUCUGGACGUGUAGGAACAAGCUCUAACUAUAUCUGACUUAUUUAUGUUGUUUGUGCCAAUCAAAAUAGUAAAGAACUUGGGACUUUAGCACCCUGUUAUCUGUUUGUCUGUACAUAUUGCAACCCAUAGAAAAAAAAAAUGAAUUAACUCUUUCUCCCUUGCAUCCAACCUUUUUCACUCGUUACUUAAAUUUCCUCACAUUUGUAGUUCAUUCUUUCCACGCCAUCUUCUAACAUCUGAUUUUUGGCAUUCAGGGUGAUUAUAGAAUUGAAACUACUUUCAGUUUUACCCCUUCUGUCCCUCUAAGAAACAAACUUACACUCUGAAAAAAAAAAAAAAAGUGAUACUCUGCACUUGGAGGUGUUCAAGGGUCAACUGAGCAUGGCCUGAGCAACCUGAUCUAGUGAAACUUGUUUUGAGCAUGGUGUUAUAGACUUCCAGAUGAAUAAAUGAUGUUACAGUUCUAUGAAAUUUCAACAGAACUCUAUUUCCUAUAAUGGGUGAUAUCAGUAAACUAGACAGCUAUCUUCAUUCCAAGUAAACGGAUGGAGGUCUAAGGAACAUAGUCAUAUGAGUGUGGCAUGGUGCCUAACUUUUUAAUUCUUUGCUCUUUGCCUUGACCAGAAGGUAUUAAACACACUAUUUUCCUCUUCUUCCUUUUUACAUGUUGGAAGACAGCAGCAUCUUCACCAGUAUGAACAACAGUUUCAUUCUACUUUCCUUAUGUGUCACGUUUCCUUCAAUAUUUUGCACGGUUCUCCAUGCUCUCCAACAAACUCCUUCAUCCUUCACCUCUUUCAAACUGUGGUACCAAAAAUUGUACCCACCACUUACACUGAGUUAUCAUCCUGAAGCAGUGUGUGAUAAGAACUACUUUAAUGGCUUACAGAUGAUGCCCUGCUGCAUUCCCAUCUCUAUAGGCCAGUUUCUUUAUUCACAACAAUAUGAACUCUUGACAUUGUGUAUCUGCUAUUGCCCCAGUUCUCCUCUGCUAAUUGCUGCCGCUCAUCUGCUCUUGCUUGUUGCAGAGAUGAUUGUUCCUACCUAGAGAUAGAAUUCUACAUUUAGCACUAUUGAAUUGGACUUUGUUUCUCCAGACAAUUUUUUCAAUUUUUCAGGACAAUUUUAGAUUCCAAUAUUUUUCUCUCAUAUGUUGGCAGCUUCCU